AGUCGCGAACGGGUGAGUAACGCGUAGGUAACCUACCUUAUAGCGGGGGAUAACUAUUGGAAACGAUAGCUAAUACCGCAUAAGAGUUGRCAACACAUGUUGUUAAUUUAAAAGGAGCAAUUGCUUCACUAUGAGAUGGACCUGCGUUGUAUUAGCUAGUUGGUAAGGUAACGGCUUACCAAGGCUUCGAUACAUAGCCGACCUGAGAGGGUGAUCGGCCACACUGGGACUGAGACACGGCCCAGACUCCUACGGGAGGCAGCAGUAGGGAAUCUUCGGCAAUGGGGGGAACCCUGACCGAGCAACGCCGCGUGAGUGAAGAAGGUUUUCGGAUCGUAAAGCUCUGUUAUAAGCGAAGAACGGGAGUAAGAGUGGAAAGUUUACUCUGUGACGGUAGCUUAUCAGAAAGGGACGGCUAACUACGUGCCAGCAGCCGCGGUAAUACGUAGGUCCCGAGCGUUGUCCGGAUUUAUUGGGCGUAAAGCGAGCGCAGGUGGUUUAAUAAGUCUGAAGUUAAAGGCAUUGGCUCAACCAAUGUACGCUUUGGAAACUGUUAAACUUGAGUGCAGAAA
RNAcentral lists this ribosomal RNA (572 nucleotides) under Streptococcus pluranimalium. Its description in RNAcentral is "bacterial SSU rRNA". It matches the Rfam family "Bacterial small subunit ribosomal RNA", at positions 94 to 654 of the family's 1533-position model. Lineage: Bacteria; Bacillati; Bacillota; Bacilli; Lactobacillales; Streptococcaceae. The record is from RNAcentral.